GCUGACUUUAAUGUUUGAUCUGGUGAAGCAAGGUCAUUUGACUAAGAAAACAAGGUUAUCUUGAUAAAAUGCCUCGCUCUUUCUCUCACUCCCUCUCUCUUACAAAUGCAGUCUGAACUCUUUCUGUUACCCAGCUCCUCUCAAACAGCAUACAGAAUCCAAGACAGCAAAUGAGCUGUGACAUAGAGCAACUAAGGGAAGCCUUUGAUUCUGCACUCAAGAUGAUGAUGUAUCUGUGGAGCUGUCUUCAGCACAAUCAGAGCCCCCUGGAGAGAUGAAAACAUUGGCAAUUGUAACUGAGAAGAGUGAUCUGCCGAGGACAGUGAUCAGGCAUCCACCAUGAUCACUGUAUUGUCUUCUCUCAUUUGAAAAUAUCCACGUCUAAAAUGUUUAUCUAAACCGAAAAAUUGUUUCAUUUUUGCCAGAACAAAUUAAAUUGCAUUUGUCUUAUUUUGCUGUUUUUGUUCAUUUCAUGGGGUUCAGGUACUAUACUCACGUUGAGAGUC
This 506-nucleotide long non-coding RNA is filed under the name Scleropages formosus (Asian bonytongue). RNAcentral's name for it is "lncRNA (ENSSFOG00015026579.1)". The record is from RNAcentral. Lineage: Eukaryota; Metazoa; Chordata; Actinopteri; Osteoglossiformes; Osteoglossidae.